AACGAACGCUGGCGGCAGGCUUAACACAUGCAAGUCGAACGCCCCGCAAGGGGAGUGGCAGACGGGUGAGUAACGCGUGGGAAUCUACCCAGUUCUACGGAACAACUGAGGGAAACUUCAGCUAAUACCGUAUACGCCCUAAGGGGGAAAGAUUUAUCGGAAUUGGAUGAGCCCGCGUUGGAUUAGCUAGUUGGUGAGGUAACGGCUCACCAAGGCGACGAUCCAUAGCUGGUCUGAGAGGAUGAUCAGCCACACUGGGACUGAGACACGGCCCAGACUCCUACGGGAGUCAGCAGUGGGGAAUAUUGGACAAUGGGCGCAAGCCUGAUCCAGCCAUGCCGCGUGAGUGAUGAAGGCCUUAGGGUUGUAAAGCUCUUUCAGUGGGGACGAUAAUGACGGUACCCACAGAAGAAGCCCCGGCUAACUUCGUGCCAGCCGCCGCCGUAA
RNAcentral lists this ribosomal RNA (447 nucleotides) under uncultured bacterium. RNAcentral's name for it is "partial 16S ribosomal RNA". It matches the Rfam family "Bacterial small subunit ribosomal RNA", at positions 29 to 523 of the family's 1533-position model. The record is from RNAcentral.